RNAcentral lists this ribosomal RNA (25 nucleotides) under Ganoderma lucidum. RNAcentral's name for it is "partial 28S ribosomal RNA". RNAcentral also lists the same sequence under 1 other name. Lineage: Eukaryota; Fungi; Basidiomycota; Agaricomycetes; Polyporales; Polyporaceae. The record is from RNAcentral.
UGACCUCUGACCUCAAAUCAGGUAG